Molecule: long non-coding RNA, 1210 nt
Filed under: Chrysolophus pictus (golden pheasant)
Lineage: Eukaryota; Metazoa; Chordata; Aves; Galliformes; Phasianidae
Description: lncRNA (ENSCPIG00010006999.1)
Source: RNAcentral
GGGUUUUGGGGGUAAAAAAGGGGGAUUGGGGGCAAAAAGGGGAAAAAAAUGAGGGGUUUAGGGGGUUGUGGGGGGGUUUAUGGGGUUUUAGGGGGGGAUUUAUGGGGUUUUGGGGGGGAAAUUUGGGGUAAUUAUGGAGGUUUUGGGGAUGAACUUAUGGGGGUUUUGGGGGAGGAAAUGAAUGGGGGGUUUUGGGGUGAAAAAUGGGGAUUUGGGGCAAAAAGGGGACAAAAAUGAGGGGCUGGGGGGGUUAUGAGGGGCUUGGGAGGUUUAUGGGGUUUUUGGGAGGGAUUUAUGGGGUUCUGGGGGGGAUUUGGGCCAAAAUAAGGAAAAUUUGGGGUGAAAAAGAGAGAAUUUGGGACCAAAAAUGGGGGAUUUGGGGCUGAAACAGGGAAAAUUUGGAGUGAAAAAGGGAGAAUUUGGGGCCAAAAAUGGGGGAUUUGGGGUGAAAAAUGGGGGAUUUGGGGGGAUUUUGGGGUGAAAAAUGGGUUUAGGGGGAUUUUAGGGUGGAUUUGGGGACUCUAUGGGGAUUUUGGUUUGAAAAAUGGGGGUUAGGGGGCAGGAAAAUUGGGAAUUUGGGGUUUUUUUGUGGGGAUUUGGGUGAUUUUGGGGUGAAAAUUCAUUAAAAUGGGGGGAUUUGGGGGAUUUUUGUGGGGAUUUGGGUGAUUUUGGGGUGGAAAAUUGUGGUUUGGGGAAUCGAUCAAAAAAAAAAUAAUAAUAACAACACUUUUCAGUCUCAGAAAUGGGUUAAAAAAAGGCAAAUUUGGGGCACGGAGAAACCAAGAAUUGAUUAUAUUCAUUUUUAUUUCUUAUCCUCACUUCAUUCCGGGGCAGAAAAACCUCGAAAUUCUCCCAAAAUACCCCAAAAAUCUUCUCGGUUUUGGGUUGGGGGGGAUUUAGGGGAAAUAUUUGGGGAGGGGGGGGGACGGAAUUGAGACCCCCACCCCAAAAAUGGAAGUGAAUGGGGCUGCUCCAACACUGCGGGUCCUCAUGGCCGCCCCAAAGGGGGAGGAUUUGGGGGAAAACACACCUCAAAAGUGCCCGAUUUUGGGGUUUUUUGACCCAUUUUGGUCAACGGGAAGAUGGGAGAUCCAACGAGUGGGAUUUUGGGGGGAAAAUACACCUCAAAAGUGCCCGAUUUUGGGGUUUUUUGACCCAUUUUGGGCAACGAGAAGAAGGGAGACCCAACGAGUGGGAUUUGGGGGGGAAA